Molecule: non-coding RNA, 220 nt
Organism: Biomphalaria pfeifferi
Lineage: Eukaryota; Metazoa; Mollusca; Gastropoda; Planorbidae
Source: the annotation of a GenBank genome assembly
GUUUCCAUUAUUGACUUGUUUUAAUUUACCAAAUGAAAAAUUAUGUACAUGCAAACAGUUGACACAAAUCAUAUUCCCACAUAGAUUGUCACAUCAGUCCAAACACAGCAGACAUUUGUAUUCAUGAUCAGACAUCCAUAUAACAUUAAACACAAAUUAUACCAUACCAAAAAAACAACAACCCAACAACUAGUACAUAAGAAAAAUACCCCCCCCCCCC